GAUGAAGACGUAGCGAAAUGCGAUAAGUAAUGUGAAUUGCAGAAUUCAGUGAAUCAUCGAAUCUUUGAACGCACAUUGCGCCCCUUGGUAUUCCGAGGGGCAUGCCUGUUCGAGCGUCAUAUUAACCACUCCCGCUUGCGGGGUCUUGGGCUUCGCCUCCGGGCGGGCCUUAAAAUCAGUGGCGGUGCCAUCGGGCUCUACGCGUAGUAAAUUUUCUCGCGAUAGGGUCCCGGUGGAUGCUUGCCAACAACCCCCAACUUCUUAAGGUUGACCUCGGAUCAGGUAGGGAUACCCGCUGAACUUAAGCAUAUCAAUAAGCGGAGGA
This 325-nucleotide unclassified non-coding RNA is filed under the name soil metagenome. RNAcentral describes it as "partial contains 5.8S ribosomal RNA, internal transcribed spacer 2, and large subunit ribosomal RNA". The stretch from base 1 to 119 matches the Rfam family "5.8S ribosomal RNA", at positions 35 to 154 of the family's 154-position model. The record is from RNAcentral.